UAUUGAUUGGUGCUUGCAUCAUGAUUUACAUUUGAGUGAGUGGCGAACUGGUGAGUAACACGUGGGAAACCUGCCCAGAAGCGGGGGAUAACACCUGGAAACAGAUGCUAAUACCGCAUAACAACUUGGACCGCAUGGUCCGAGUUUGAAAGAUGGCUUCGGCUAUCACUUUUGGAUGGUCCCGCGGCGUAUUAGCUAGAUGGUGGGGUAACGGCUCACCAUGGCAAUGAUACGUAGCCGACCUGAGAGGGUAAUCGGCCACAUUGGGACUGAGACACGGCCCAAACUCCUACGGGAGGCAGCAGUAGGGAAUCUUCCACAAUGGACGAAAGUCUGAUGGAGCAACGCCGCGUGAGUGAAGAAGGGUUUCGGCUCGUAAAACUCUGUUGUUAAAGAAGAACAUAUCUGAGAGUAACUGUUCAGGUAUUGACGGUAUUUAACCAGAAAGCCACGGCUAACUACGUGCCAGCAGCCGCGGUAAUACGUAGGUGGCAAGCGUUGUCCGGAUUUAUUGGGCGUAAAGCGAGCGCAGGCGGUUUUUUAAGUCUGAUGUGAAAGCCUUCGGCUCAACCGAAGAAGUGCAUCGGAAACUGGGAAACUUGAGUGCAGAAGAGGACAGUGGAACUCCAUGUGUAGCGGUGAAAUGCGUAGAUAUAUGGAAGAACACCAGUGGCGAAGGCGGCUGUCUGGUCUGUAACUGACGCUGAGGCUCGAAAGUAUGGGUAGCAAACAGGAUUAGAUACCCUGGUAGUCCAUACCGUAAACGAUGAAUGCUAAGUGUUGGAGGGUUUCCGCCCUUCAGUGCUGCAGCUAACGCAUUAAGCAUUCCGCCUGGGGAGUACGGCCGCAAGGCUGAAACUCAAAGGAAUUGACGGGGGCCCGCACAAGCGGUGGAGCAUGUGGUUUAAUUCGAAGCUACGCGAAGAACCUUACCAGGUCUUGACAUACUAUGCAAAUCUAAGAGAUUAGACGUUCCCUUCGGGGACAUGGAUACAGGUGGUGCAUGGUUGUCGUCAGCUCGUGUCGUGAGAUGUUGGGUUAAGUCCCGCAACGAGCGCAACCCUUAUUAUCAGUUGCCAGCAUUAAGUUGGGCACUCUGGUGAGACUGCCGGUGACAAACCGGAGGAAGGUGGGGAUGACGUCAAAUCAUCAUGCCCCUUAUGACCUGGGCUACACACGUGCUACAAUGGAUGGUACAACGAGUUGCGAACUCGCGAGAGUAAGCUAAUCUCUUAAAGCCAUUCUCAGUUCGGAUUGUAGGCUGCAACUCGCCUACAUGAAGUCGGAAUCGCUAGUAAUCGCGGAUCAGCAUGCCGCGGUGAAUACGUUCCCGGGCCUUGUACACACCGCCCGUCACACCAUGAGAGUUUGUAACACCCAAAGUCGGUGGGGUAACCUUUUAGGAA
This 1406-nucleotide ribosomal RNA is filed under the name Lactiplantibacillus plantarum. RNAcentral's name for it is "bacterial SSU rRNA". It matches the Rfam family "Bacterial small subunit ribosomal RNA". Lineage: Bacteria; Bacillati; Bacillota; Bacilli; Lactobacillales; Lactobacillaceae. The record is from RNAcentral.